Vigna unguiculata (cowpea) is the source of this 94-nucleotide small nucleolar RNA. RefSeq annotates it as small nucleolar RNA snoR113. NCBI's taxonomy places the organism in Eukaryota, Viridiplantae, Streptophyta, Magnoliopsida, Fabales, Fabaceae. The record is from RefSeq and is a predicted model, not a curated record.
UGGCGAUGACGAUGAAAAGGCCGGACUUACGGCUGCCGUAUACUUCUUUGGCAGUAGAUUGAUGGACUUUAUGGUUUAGGGUUUUCUGAGCCAG